UACGUAGGGGGCAAGCGUUGUCCGGAAUCAUUGGGCGUAAAGCGCGUGUAGGCGGCUCGAUAAGUCUGCUGUGAAAGUCCAGGGCUCAACCCUGGGAUGCCGGUGGAUACUGUCGAGCUCGAGUCCGGAAGAGGAGUGUGGAAUUCCUGGUGUAGCGGUGAAAUGCGCAGAUAUCAGGAGGAACACCGAUAGCGAAGGCAGCACUCUGGUACGUGACUGACGCUGAGACGCGAAAGCGUGGGGAGCAAAC
Molecule: ribosomal RNA, 250 nt
Filed under: uncultured bacterium
Lineage: Bacteria
Description: partial 16S ribosomal RNA
Rfam family: Bacterial small subunit ribosomal RNA
Source: RNAcentral